Long non-coding RNA from Thalassophryne amazonica, 440 nucleotides. RefSeq lists it as uncharacterized. The record is from RefSeq and is a predicted model, not a curated record. The transcript has 4 exons. Lineage: Eukaryota; Metazoa; Chordata; Actinopteri; Batrachoidiformes; Batrachoididae.
GUCAGCAACACUGUUCACACAGACAAAGGAGCGUAGCAACAGGUCAGUGUUAGCGUUCGCAGAUUAGCACAUAAACCGGUUUAAUGUUGGAGCUCCUGUUUUUCUAUGACUCCACAUAUGAUUAACGUCAUCAGUAAAACCUCUGUUAAGUCAUAAUAGGAUGAUAUCAGGUGAACAUGCGUUGAUGUGAUGCUGUGGACGGUAUGCACGUGGACAUUCAAGGGGAUACUGUGCACAUGCAGAUUCCUGUGGGUGUGCCCAUAUAAUGCAAUACAGUUUUUGCCACGGGAACGGCGACUUAGAGAAGACACACGACACAAGCAGAAACACCUUGCAGUUUCUGAAAGUAAAGUGGUUGCAGCCAUACCAGGCAGCCCUGACCAAACUGUGGACCUUCUCAAAAGAUUGACCAAAACCGAGAAGAGAUACUGUCCCUAAAG